GACGAACGCUGGCGGCGUGCUUAACACAUGCAAGUCGAGCGGUAAGGCCCUUUCGGGGGUACACGAGCGGCGAACGGGUGAGUAACACGUGGGUGACCUGCCCUCAGCUCUGGGAUAAGCCUGGGAAACUGGGUCUAAUACUGGAUAUGACUCCACGGUGCAUGUCGUGGGGUGGAAAGCCUUGUGCGGCUGAGGAUGGGCCCGCGGCCUAUCAGCUUGUUGGUGGGGUGANGGCCUACCAAGGCGACGACGGGUAGCCGGCCU
RNAcentral lists this ribosomal RNA (264 nucleotides) under uncultured bacterium. Its description in RNAcentral is "partial 16S ribosomal RNA". It matches the Rfam family "Bacterial small subunit ribosomal RNA", at positions 28 to 293 of the family's 1533-position model. The record is from RNAcentral.